This 274-nucleotide ribosomal RNA is filed under the name uncultured bacterium. Its description in RNAcentral is "partial 16S ribosomal RNA". It matches the Rfam family "Bacterial small subunit ribosomal RNA", at positions 523 to 796 of the family's 1533-position model. The record is from RNAcentral.
CUACGAAGGGGGCAAGCGUUGUUCGGAAUAACUGGGCGUAAAGCGCACGUAGGCGGAAUGUUAAGUUAGAGGUGAAAUCCCAGGGCUCAACCCUGGAACGGCCUUUAAUACUGGCAAUCUAGAGACCGAGAGAGGUGAGUGGAAUUCCGAGUGUAGAGGUGAAAUUCGUAGAUAUUCGGAGGAACACCAGUGGCGAAGGCGGCUCACUGGCUCGGUACUGACGCUGAGGUGCGAAAGCGUGGGGAGCAAACAGGAUUAGAAACCCUAGUAGUCC